RNAcentral lists this long non-coding RNA (1061 nucleotides) under Heterocephalus glaber (naked mole-rat). RNAcentral describes it as "lncRNA (ENSHGLG00000036456.1)". Lineage: Eukaryota; Metazoa; Chordata; Mammalia; Rodentia; Bathyergidae. The record is from RNAcentral.
CAGACGGAGAAGUGGCCGUGGCAAACCAAGGGGAAAGAAACUGGGAUGCUCCAUCGUGUGUUCCCUGGGGACUCCCGUGGCCGCCGGUACAGAGAGCUGGUGGCAGCUUGCGUGGUCACAGGGAGAGGAGGGGUGGAUGACCAAGACCCAUCGCCUCCACCCCGGGGUCCUCGUCUCACCCGGUGUAGGGUCACCAGACCAGAAGAGGUGACCUGGCUUUCUGAGUCUCCACUUGCCGACAGCAGGCUGUGGGGCCACAAUCGCACAAGCCAGCUCCUGCACUAAAUCUGUGCUGCAUCGAUGGUGUUUCCACGCAAACGUGUGUGCAUUAAACGGAAUCCUGUCAUGCUACACAACCAUGAACACCUGCCCUGGCUUCUCCGUGCACACUCCUGUCCCUGGCUUUCGGAGAGAUUCUUCGUCCUGGAGUAACGGAGCCAAAGGGCAGGGCUGGGUGAGGCUCCUCCUCCCUCUCCCAGAUUCCCUCUCUGGAAGGGUGCAACGGGGCCCACGCCUGCAGCAGUGUGGAAGAGGAGCCUGGGUCACGAGGGACCCGUUGCCCCUCCAGCCCCCUGCCUCACCCAUGCCUGUCUUCAGGCUUCCUGAGACACCACGCCCUGCGGCAGGGUGAUACACAUUGCUAGGGCAGCUGAGCAUGGCUCCAUACCCCGCAGGGGGCCCCAGGGCUGCUGCACGGGCUUCGGGUUCCCUUUUUGCCGUGGGACCAAGGACCGCUCUCAGACGGAAGUGACCAAGGGCUGCUGCAGAGCUGGCUCAGCCGGAUGUCUCAACUUUCACAGUCUGCAUCCCCCUCUCCCCUGGGCUGCUCUGGGGUGGUUGCUUUCCUUUAUUAGCAUCAUCACUCGUAGUUUCUGCCUCAGGUCACUUUAACCUUAUCAGGUGUAUUACCAAAACCCAUCAUCUCCUUGAAUAUUCUCAGCUUAAAGUCUGCCACCAGAGGCUGAAGGCGCUUGGUCACCUUUUAUCCAUUCGUUUUUCUUUCAGUGCACAUUUAAUGAGCACCUGCUACGUGCCAGGCAUAAGGCCAGGCGUAGUGCUGG